UUCGUAGGGGGCAAGCGUUGUCCGGAUUUAUUGGGCGUAAAGAGCGUGUAGGCGGCCUGACAGGUCUGCUGUGAAAACUCGAGGCUCAACCUCGAGAUGUCGGCGGAAACCGUCUGGCUAGAGUCCGGAAGAGGAGAGUGGAAUUCCUGGUGUAGCGGUGAAAUGCGCAGAUAUCAGGAAGAACACCUAUGGCGAAGGCAGCUCUCUGGGACGGUACUGACGCUGAGACGCGAAAGCGUGGGGAGCGAACAGG
Molecule: ribosomal RNA, 253 nt
Filed under: uncultured bacterium
Lineage: Bacteria
Description: partial 16S ribosomal RNA
Rfam family: Bacterial small subunit ribosomal RNA
Source: RNAcentral